CUGAAGUAAUUGCAGAGGACCUAAAACCCUCACAAAGCCUCGCCACCGCUAGCUUCACAGCCACCGCGUAGCAAUCUGAGAAGACGAUGGCUUGGCGCUCAGGAUCGCUAUCUCGGACCCUCAUCUCCACUGUUCGCUCUUCUUCUUCCCGGUUAACUCCAUCGGUUCCUCAACUCCGGCCGCCGCCCGUCACCGCUCCUCGCCGCCUGCCGGGCCGCCAUUUUUCUGCUGCUUCCAGGAGCUUGGGAGAACUGGGAUGCCUACAGUCCUUCUUGCCAAUUUACAGCAUGACAGCAGCUACCUGCCUGACAUCCCACCUCACUGUUAAUGUUAGGGCUUUUUGCGAGCUGUCUCAUGGUAUGAGUGGGAAAGAUGGAUGAUGAUGCUCAAGACAUGCACUCAUCCUGAGCUGGAGACUGAUUCAAUGUUUUAGGUACUUAAAGUUCAAUGGGAUCAAACACUACCAUAUGCGGCAAUAUGCGGUUACAGGGGGACUCAUGAAGAGUUGAUACUUUAGGAGCUUAUGCUUUGGAAAUAGGAUAAUAAAUUAUUAUAUUAUUGAUCAGAACUGGGAUUAAAGCAUUUCUGACAUACUCGAAUUAUUGACCUGUUGCUUCUCGUUCUUCAUUAUUCAAGAUAUCUGUCGUUAUUUACUAUUGAAAAGAGAAAUUUGUUUA
Molecule: RNA transcript, 677 nt
Organism: Momordica charantia (bitter melon)
Lineage: Eukaryota; Viridiplantae; Streptophyta; Magnoliopsida; Cucurbitales; Cucurbitaceae
Source: RefSeq, a predicted model, not a curated record